GUGGGGAGCGCCGGAUCCUGGGCUGUGUCCCCCAGUGCCCUGAGAUCCAGGGCCUGUGCCGCUGGAAUCGCGCUCCCGGGCCGCGCCGCCCCCU
Molecule: microRNA precursor, 94 nt
Filed under: Canis lupus dingo (dingo)
Lineage: Eukaryota; Metazoa; Chordata; Mammalia; Carnivora; Canidae
Description: mir-8799 microRNA precursor family
Rfam family: mir-8799 microRNA precursor family
Source: Rfam by way of RNAcentral